CUACGGGAGGCAGCAGUGGGGAAUUUUGGACAAUGGGGGCAACCCUGAUCCAGCCAUUCCGCGUGAGUGAAGAAGGCCUUCGGGUUGUAAAGCUCUUUCGGCAGGAACGAAACGGUGAGGGCGAAUACCCCUUAUCAAUGACGGUACCUGAAGAAGAAGCACCGGCUAACUACGUGCCAGCAGCCGCGGUAAUA
Molecule: ribosomal RNA, 194 nt
Filed under: uncultured bacterium
Lineage: Bacteria
Description: partial 16S ribosomal RNA
Rfam family: Bacterial small subunit ribosomal RNA
Source: RNAcentral